Molecule: ribosomal RNA, 487 nt
Filed under: uncultured bacterium
Lineage: Bacteria
Description: bacterial SSU rRNA
Rfam family: Bacterial small subunit ribosomal RNA
Source: RNAcentral
CUUGGUUCAGGAUUAACGCUGGCGGCGUGCCUAAUACAUGCAAGUCGAAUGGUAGUAGCAAUACAAACCAUGGCGAACGGGUGAGUAACACGUAGGUAACCUGUCUUUAAGACGAGGAUAACCAUUGGAAACGAUGGAUAAUACUGGAUAGGACAUCAUAAAGGGCAUCCUUAGAUGUUUAAAGAUUAUUAUGUCACUUAGAGAGGGGCCUGCGGCGCAUUAGCUAGUUGGUGAGGUAAGAGCCCACCAAGGCGAUGAUGCGUAGCCGGACUGAGAGGUUGAACGGCCACAAUGGAACUGAGAACGGUCCAUACUCCUACGGGAGGCAGCAGUAGGGAAUUUUCGGCAAUGGGCGCAAGCCUGAACCCGAGCAACGCCGCGUGAACGAAGAAGUUAUUCGUAAUGUAAAGUUCUUUUAUCUGGGAAGAAAAAACAAAUUGACGGUACCAGAUGAAUAAGCUCCGGCUAACUACGUGCCAGCCGCAGC